GACGAACGCUGGCGGCGUGCCUAAUACAUGCAAGUCGAACGCUUCUUUCCUCCCGAGUGCUUGCACUCAAUUGGAAAGAGGAGUGGCGGACGGGUGAGUAACACGUGGGUAACCUACCCAUCAGAGGGGGAUAACACUUGGAAACAGGUGCUAAUACCGCAUAACAGUUUAUGCCGCAUGGCAUAAGAGUGAAAGGCGCUUUCGGGUGUCGCUGAUGGAUGGACCCGCGGUGCAUUAGCUAGUUGGUGAGGUAACGGCUCACCAAGGCCACGAUGCAUAGCCGACCUGAGGGGGUGAUCGGCCACACUGGGACUGAGACACGGCCCAGACUCCUACGGGAGGCAGCAGUAGGGAAUCUUCGGCAAUGGACGAAAGUCUGACCGAGCAACGCCGCGUGAGUGAAGAAGGUUUUCGGAUCGUAAAACUCUGUUGUUAGAGAAGAACAAGGACGUUAGUAACUGAACGUCCCCUGACGGUAUCUAACCAGAAAGACACGGCUAACUACGU
Molecule: ribosomal RNA, 507 nt
Filed under: uncultured bacterium
Lineage: Bacteria
Description: partial 16S ribosomal RNA
Rfam family: Bacterial small subunit ribosomal RNA
Source: RNAcentral